GAUGAACGCUGGCGGCGUGCCUAACACAUGCAAGUCGAGCGAUCUUCUUCGGAAGGGAGCGGCGGACGGGUGAGUAACGCGUGGGUAACCUGCCCUGUACACACGGAUAACAUACCGAAAGGUAUGCUAAUACGGGAUAACAUAAGAAAGUCGCAUGGCUUUCUUAUCAAAGCUUUUGCGGUACAGGAUGGACCCGCGUCUGAUUAGCUAGUUGGUAAGGUAACGGCUUACCAAGGCGACGAUCAGUAGCCGACCUGAGAGGGUGAUCGGCCACAUUGGAACUGAGACACGGUCCAAACUCCUACGGGAGGCAGCAGUGGGGAAUAUUGCACAAUGGGCGAAAGCCUGAUGCAGCAACGCCGCGUGAGCGAUGAAGGCCUUCGGGUCGUAAAGCUCUGUCCUCAAGGAAGAUAAUGACGGUACUUGAGGAGGAAGCCCCGGCUAACUACGUGCCAGCAGCCGCGGUAAUACGUAGGGGGCUAGCGUUAUCCGGAAUUACUGGGCGUAAAGGGUGCGUAGGCGGUCUUUCAAGUCAGAAGUGAAAGGCUACGGCUCAACCGUAGUAAGCUUUUGAAACUGUAAGACUUGAGUGCAGGAGAGGAGAGUGGAAUUCCUAGUGUAGCGGUGAAAUGCGUAGAUAUUAGGAGGAACACCAGUUGCGAAGGCGGCUCUCUGGACUGUAACUGACGCUGAGGCACG
RNAcentral lists this ribosomal RNA (699 nucleotides) under uncultured Clostridium sp. RNAcentral's name for it is "bacterial SSU rRNA". It matches the Rfam family "Bacterial small subunit ribosomal RNA", at positions 28 to 755 of the family's 1533-position model. Lineage: Bacteria; Bacillati; Bacillota; Clostridia; Eubacteriales; Clostridiaceae. The record is from RNAcentral.